RNAcentral lists this unclassified non-coding RNA (252 nucleotides) under uncultured Acidobacteriota bacterium. RNAcentral's name for it is "uncultured Acidobacteria bacterium contains 16S-23S intergenic spacer region". It matches the Rfam family "Bacterial small subunit ribosomal RNA", at positions 524 to 776 of the family's 1533-position model. The record is from RNAcentral. Lineage: Bacteria; Pseudomonadati; Acidobacteriota.
UACGGGGGGGCGAGCGUUGUUCGGAAUUACUGGGCGUAAAGGGUUCGUAGGUGGCCCUCUCAGUCAGAUGUGAAAUCCCUCGGCUCAACUGAGGAACUGCAUCUGAUACUGGAGGGCUUGAGUGCAGGAGAGGAACGCGGAAUUCCAGGUGUAGCGGUGAAAUGCGUAGAUAUCUGGAGGAACACCGGUGGCGAAGGCGGCGUUCUGGACUGCAACUGACACUGAGGAACGAAAGCCAGGGGAGCAAACGGG